GUAGGUAAGGGUUUGCCUGCAAUUCGUAGUCUGCACCUGCAGGCAACAUCUCUACUGUGCUGGGAUUUACUUGGAGGCUUUCUCCAGUGAUACCAGCAGCUCAGUAACGAGUUCACAGGUCAAAUAGAGGUGGCCCUCUAAGGGUUAAGAUAUGAUCGAAAAGAGGCUUUUGCAAGCCGUUUGGACUUGGAACCUGCGGAAGGAUCAUUACAGAGAACUUUGCCCUUUGGGGUAGAUCUCCCACCCUUUG
RNAcentral lists this unclassified non-coding RNA (250 nucleotides) under plant metagenome. RNAcentral describes it as "partial contains small subunit ribosomal RNA, internal transcribed spacer 1, and 5.8S ribosomal RNA". The record is from RNAcentral.